RNAcentral lists this ribosomal RNA (807 nucleotides) under uncultured endophytic bacterium. RNAcentral's name for it is "bacterial SSU rRNA". It matches the Rfam family "Bacterial small subunit ribosomal RNA", at positions 8 to 790 of the family's 1533-position model. The record is from RNAcentral.
GGAGAGUUUGAUCAUGGCUCAGAACUAACGCUGGUGGCGUGUCUUAGUCAUGCAAGUCGAACGAGAAAGUACCCUUCGGGGUGCGAGUAAAGUGGCGAACGGGUGAGUAACACGUGGGUAACCUGCCUUUGAGUGGGGAACAACCCCUCUAACGAGGUGCUAAUACCGAAUGAUAAGGCGAGUUGAUGACUCGUUUUUAAAGGUGGCCUCUACUUGUAAGCUGCCGCCUAGGGAUGGGCCCGCGUCGUAUUAGCUUGUUGGUAGGGUAACGGCCUACCAAGGCGACGAUGCGUAGCCGGCCUGAGAGGGUGAACGGCCACACUGGCACUGAGAUAAGGGCCAGUCUCCUACGGGAGCCAGCAGUCUAGAAAUUUGCACAAUCGCCGAAAGGCGGAUGCAGCGACACCACGUGGAGGAUGAAGCCCCUCGGGGUGUAAACUCCUGUCAGAAGGGAAGAAGGCGCGGGUGUUAAUACCGCUCGUUGCUUGACGGUACCUUCAGAGGAAGCUCCGGCUAACUACGUGCCAGCAGCCGCGGUAAUACGUAGGGAGCGAGCGUUGUUCGGAUUUACUGGGCGUAAAGGGCACGUAGGCGGGUAUGCAAGUCGGUUGUGAAAUCCUCUGGCUCAACUAGAGAACUGCAGCCGAAACUGCACACCUUGAGUCCAGCAGAGGGAAUCGGAAUCCCAGGUGUAGCGGUGAAAUGCGUAGAUAUCUGGGAGAACAUCAGUGGCGAAGGCGGAUUCCUGGGCUGGUACUGACGCUAAGGUGCGAAAGCUAAGGGAGCGAACAGGAUUAGAUACCCUGG